UGGGGAAUAUUGGACAAUGGGCGCAAGCCUGAUCCAGCAAUGCCGCGUGAGUGAGGAAGGCCUUAGGGUUGUAAAGCUCUUUCACCCACGACGAUGAUGACGGUAGUGGGAGAAGAAGCCCCGGCUAACUUCGUGCCAGCAGCCGCGGUAAUACGAAGGGGGCGAGCGUUGUUCGGAUUUACUGGGCGUAAAGGGCGCGCAGGCGGCGGACCAAGUCAGGCGUGAAAGCCCCGGGCUCAACCUGGGAACUGCGUUUGGGACUGGUUUGCUAGAGAUCGGGAGAGGAGAGUGGAAUUCCCAGUGUAGAGGUGAAAUUCGUAGAUAUUGGGAAGAACACCGGUGGCGAAGGCGGCUCUCUGGACCGAUACUGACGCUGAGGCGCGAAAGCGUGGGGAGCAAACAGG
RNAcentral lists this ribosomal RNA (404 nucleotides) under uncultured bacterium. Its description in RNAcentral is "bacterial SSU rRNA". It matches the Rfam family "Bacterial small subunit ribosomal RNA", at positions 355 to 776 of the family's 1533-position model. The record is from RNAcentral.